Long non-coding RNA from Solanum tuberosum (potato), 1099 nucleotides. RefSeq lists it as uncharacterized. The transcript has 2 exons. Lineage: Eukaryota; Viridiplantae; Streptophyta; Magnoliopsida; Solanales; Solanaceae. The record is from RefSeq and is a predicted model, not a curated record.
AUACUUUAGCAGUACAAAAAGAAAUAUCUAUUCAUAAUAUCUUGAGAUUGUUUCCUAUUAAGCUAUUCAAAGAAGGAAACAGUGUGAUUGACUUGUCUUUUUGUUUACCUAUUUGGAUUAAAAUAAAGAUAUUCUCCUUCGCUCCACAUUAUCAUUUUACUUAACAAAAGAAACAAUAACUUGUGUACCGAAAGAGGUACCAUUUUCUCAUGAAUUUAUCUUGAGUUGAGAUUCUUUGGUCAAUUCUAUCCAAUUUUGCUAACAGCAGUCCAUUUUCAAUCUUGAAUUGGUUAAAAUACAGCAACGGAAUUGUGUAUUUAUUUAAGGUGACAAUGUAUAUUAUUUAUUAAACUCUUAUGUUUUAUUGUGCUUUCUAUUCUGGCUUUGAAAUUUGGGGCUAAGAAAAAGGUUGGGAUGUUCAUUGUUCAACUAAUUUGAGAUAUUAGACGAUGCUAUUGAUGUAAUGAAAUUGGAAGAUGCUGUAAUUCAAAACAUGGUAAAGUCUCUGAUUUGUAUUCACAAGUUGCAAUCCUUGAUUGUUUUUCAUUGUAUUGGGUUAUUUUUCAUAAUAUUGGCAAUUUUGACAAAUGUACAAUGAUUUUAACUCUACUAUAUACAUACUUGGUCACCCAUGGAAAAAGUUUGAAAAGAUAAUUCAACAAUUAUUUGGAAACCUUUCCUCAUGUUGGGAACCAAAAUGAGGUACAAGAAGCAAUGUAAAGUGUACUUCAAACAGAACUUGAGUUGUACGAGUAGGGUUAAAAUAGUAACUUCGCUUUAUUCACUCUCUCACCUCUGCUUCUACUCUUUCUUCUCUGGUUGACAACAUUGACAGCCAUUUUAAACCUUCAACGGAGUUAAACUUUACUUCAGAGUCUCACUCCAACUUCUCAAGUUCUUUCAAUUGUUUACCUGAUAAUUAAUGGCUUGAUGCAGUCGCAUGUUUGACGGAAUUUCAUGUGAAGGUAAGACUUGUGUGUUAUGAAGAGAGAUUAGUUACAAGAGUUGAUUGUUUUGGCAGAUGAUUGAAGGUGCUAAUGAAGUUGAACGGUGGGCUUAGGUGAAUAGACAUUUUCCCUUAUAAUAUCUUUUUUUCAUA